UACGUAGGGUGCGAGCGUUGUCCGGAAUUAUUGGGCGUAAAGAGCUUGUAGGUGGCUCGUCGCGUCGGGGAGUGAAAACCCGCGGCUUAACCGCGGGCCUGCUUUCGAUACGGGGCGGGCUAGAGUUCGGCAGGGGGAGACUGGAAUUCCUGGUGUAGCGGUGGAAUGCGCAGAUAUCAGGAGGAACACCGGUGGCGAAGGCGGGUCUCUGGGCCGAUACUGACACUGAGAAGCGAAAGCGUGGGGAGCGAACAGG
RNAcentral lists this ribosomal RNA (256 nucleotides) under uncultured bacterium. RNAcentral describes it as "partial 16S ribosomal RNA". It matches the Rfam family "Bacterial small subunit ribosomal RNA", at positions 524 to 776 of the family's 1533-position model. The record is from RNAcentral.